This 86-nucleotide transfer RNA is filed under the name Actinomycetota bacterium. RNAcentral describes it as "tRNA-Leu". It matches the Rfam family "tRNA". Rfam says of the family: Transfer RNA (tRNA) molecules are approximately 80 nucleotides in length. The record is from RNAcentral. Lineage: Bacteria; Bacillati; Actinomycetota. RNAcentral also lists the same sequence under 1 other name.
GCCCGGGUGGCGGAAUGGCAGACGCGGGGGGCUUAAACCCCCCUCCUUGCAAGAGGGUACGGGUUCGAGUCCCGUCCCGGGCACCA